CAUCAUAGCGGAGGAAAAGAAACCAACAGGGAUUGCCCCAGUAACGGCGAGUGAAGCGGCAGCAGCUCAAAUUUGAAAUCUGGGGUCCCCGACCUCCGAGUUGUAAUUUGGAGAGGCAUCUUCGGGGGGGAGCGCCGGCCCAUGUUCCUUGGGACAGGACGUCACAGAGGGUGAGAAUCCCGUGCCUGGCCGGCUGCCUCCUCCCGGGUGAAGGGCCUUCGACGAGUCGAGUUGUUUGGGAAUGCAGCUCCAAGUGGGUGGUAAAUUUCAUCUAAAGCUAAAUACCGGCGGGAGACCGAUAGCGCACAAGUAGAGUGAUCGAAAGAUGAAAAGCACUUUGAAAAUAGAGUCAAAAAGUACGUGAAAUUGUUGAAAGGGAAGCGCUUGAGACCAGACUCAGGCCCGGGCAAACAUCGCGCCCCUCGGGGCCGUGCAAUUGCCUGGGCCUGGGCCAGCAUCAGUUGGCGUGGCGGGACAAAGGCGCGGGGAAUGUGGCUCCCCUCGAGGAGUGUUAUCAGGCCCGCGCUCAAUGCCGCCGACGUCGACUGAGGACCGCGCCUCGGCUAGGAUGCUGGCUUAAUGGCCUUCAGCGACCCGUCUUGAAACACGGACCAAGGAGUCUAACAUCUAUGCGAGUGUUUGGGCGACAAACCCUUGCGCGGAAUGAAAGUGAGCGGAGGUGGGAACCCCCCAGCGGGGCGCACCAUCGACCGAUCCUGAUGUCUUCGGAUGGAUUUGAGUAGGAGCAUAGCUGUUGGGACCCGAAAGAUGGUGAACUAUGCCUGAAUAGGGUGAAGCCAGAGGAAACUCUGGUGGAGGCUCGCAGCGGUUCUGACGUGCAAAUCGAUCGUCAAAUUUGGGUAUAGGGGCGAAAGACUAAUCGAACCAUCU
Molecule: ribosomal RNA, 891 nt
Filed under: Helvella guttata
Lineage: Eukaryota; Fungi; Ascomycota; Pezizomycetes; Pezizales; Helvellaceae
Description: eukaryotic LSU rRNA
Rfam family: Eukaryotic large subunit ribosomal RNA
Source: RNAcentral